AGCGAACGCUGGCGGCAGGCCUAACACAUGCAAGUCGAACGAAGUCUUCGGACUUAGUGGCGGACGGGUGAGUAACACGUGGGAACGUACCUUUUGGUUCGGAACAACUCAGGGAAACUUGAGCUAAUACCGGAUGAGCCCUUAGGGGGAAAGAUUUAUCGCCGAAAGAGCGGCCCGCGUUAGAUUAGCUAGUUGGGGAGGUAAAGGCUCACCAAGGCUACGAUCUAUAGCUGGUCUGAGAGGAUGAUCAGCCACACUGGGGCUGAGACACGGCCCAGACUCCUACGGGAGGCAGCAGUGGGGAAUCUUGCGCAAUGGGCGAAAGCCUGACGCAGCCAUGCCGCGUGAAUGAUGAAGGUCUUAGGAUUGUAAAAUUCUUUUACCAGGGACGAUAAUGACGGUACCUGGAGAAAAAGCCCCGGCUAACUUCGUGCCAGCCGCCGCGGUAA
This 449-nucleotide ribosomal RNA is filed under the name uncultured bacterium. RNAcentral describes it as "partial 16S ribosomal RNA". It matches the Rfam family "Bacterial small subunit ribosomal RNA", at positions 29 to 523 of the family's 1533-position model. The record is from RNAcentral.